Molecule: non-coding RNA, 72 nt
Organism: Candida albicans SC5314
Lineage: Eukaryota; Fungi; Ascomycota; Pichiomycetes; Serinales; Debaryomycetaceae
Source: Rfam
CGCAAUAUAAUGUAAUUGGUAACAUAUAAGAUUCAUGAUCUUAUCAUGGUAGUUCGAGUCUAUCUAUUGCAA